ACGCACGCUGGCGGCCUGCCUAACACAUGCAAGUCGAACGAAGCCUUCGGGCUUAGUGGCGCACGGGUGCGUCACGCGUGGGAAUCUGCCCCUUGCUUCGGAAUAACAGUUAGAAAUGACUGCUAAUACCGGAUGAAGUCUUCGGACCAAAGAUUUAUCGGCAAGGGAUGAGCCCGCGUAGGAUUAGGUAGUUGGUGGGGUAAAGGCCUACCAAGCCGACGAUCCUUAGCUGGUCUGAGAGGAUGAUCAGCCACACUGGGACUGAGACACGGCCCAGACUCCUACGGGAGGCAGCAGUGGGGAAUAUUGGACAAUGGACGCAAGUCUGAUCCAGCAAUGCCGCGUGAGUGAUGAAGGCCUUAGGGUUGUAAAGCUCUUUUACCAGGGAUGAUAAUGACAGUACCUGGAGAAUAAGCUCCGGCUAACUCCGUG
Molecule: ribosomal RNA, 432 nt
Filed under: uncultured bacterium
Lineage: Bacteria
Description: partial 16S ribosomal RNA
Rfam family: Bacterial small subunit ribosomal RNA
Source: RNAcentral